UGAGCAGUAGCUCAGUGGCAGAGUGCUUGCCUAGCAUGUGUGAGGCCCUGGGUUCAAUUCUCAGCACCACAU
RNAcentral lists this transfer RNA (72 nucleotides) under Ictidomys tridecemlineatus (thirteen-lined ground squirrel). RNAcentral describes it as "Spermophilus tridecemlineatus (thirteen-lined ground squirrel) tRNA". It matches the Rfam family "tRNA". Rfam says of the family: Transfer RNA (tRNA) molecules are approximately 80 nucleotides in length. Their secondary structure includes four short double-helical elements and three loops (D, anti-codon, and T loops). Further hydrogen bonds mediate the characteristic L-shaped molecular structure. tRNAs have two regions of fundamental functional importance: the anti-codon, which is responsible for specific mRNA codon recognition, and the 3' end, to which the tRNAs corresponding amino acid is attached (by aminoacyl-tRNA synthetases). tRNAs cope with the degeneracy of the genetic code in two manners: having more than one tRNA (with a specific anti-codon) for a particular amino acid; and 'wobble' base-pairing, i.e. permitting non-standard base-pairing at the 3rd anti-codon position. The record is from Rfam by way of RNAcentral. Lineage: Eukaryota; Metazoa; Chordata; Mammalia; Rodentia; Sciuridae.